GUUUGAUCCUGGCUCAGGAUGAACGCUAGCUACAGGCUUAACACAUGCAAGUCGCGGGGCAGCAUUUUCUUAGCUUGCUAGGGAAGAUGGCGACCGGCGCACGGGUGAGUAACGCGUAUCCAACCUUCCCAUGUCCACGGGAUAGCCCGUCGAAAGGCGGAUUAAUACCGUAUGAGGUCACAUGCGGGCAUCUAAGUGUGACGAAAGGUUUAGCGGACAUGGAUGGGGAUGCGUCCGAUUAGCUAGUUGGCGGGGUAACGGCCCACCAAGGCGACGAUCGGUAGGGGUUCUGAGAGGAAGGUCCCCCACAUUGGAACUGAGACACGGUCCAAACUCCUACGGGAGGCAGCAGUGAGGAAUAUUGGUCAAUGGACGCAAGUCUGAACCAGCCAAGUAGCGUGCAGGAUGACGGCCCUAUGGGUUGUAAACUGCUUUUAUGCGGGGAUAAAGUGUGGGACGUGUCCCAUACUGUAGGUACCGCAUGAAUAAGGACCGGCUAAUUCCGUGCCAGCAGCCGCGGUAAUACGGAAGGUCCGGGCGUUAUCCGGAUUUAUUGGGUUUAAAGGGAGCGUAGGCCGGCUUUUAAGCGUGUUGUGAAAUGCCGCGGCUCA
This 611-nucleotide ribosomal RNA is filed under the name uncultured bacterium. RNAcentral's name for it is "bacterial SSU rRNA". It matches the Rfam family "Bacterial small subunit ribosomal RNA", at positions 11 to 611 of the family's 1533-position model. The record is from RNAcentral.